Long non-coding RNA from Phalaenopsis equestris, 746 nucleotides. RefSeq lists it as uncharacterized. The record is from RefSeq and is a predicted model, not a curated record. NCBI's taxonomy places the organism in Eukaryota, Viridiplantae, Streptophyta, Magnoliopsida, Asparagales, Orchidaceae. The transcript has 5 exons.
UCCAUCCUCUCCCUCAAAGCUACGCAGCCCGUCGAAAGGUUGUUGUGCCAUCUGUGGAUCGAGCGUUUCAUGUUGGAAAAAGUGGACACAUUCGACCGUAAGAAGAUACCAUAGUCGCUGCAGCAAAAACAGUGCGCCUCCCGAGCUCUUUACAUUUGCUGCUUCUUUCACUGGCACUUUUUCCCUCUUUGCCUACACAAAACCUUUUGAGAACAUCUUAGUCAGCCUUCCAAAAACAUAAGGUGGGGAGUUCGGGAAAUACUUCAACUUACCUGCUCUGAAGGAUUCAAGGAUGGUAUCUACUUAUAUUUCAUCUUGUGGUGCCGGCAGCGAAGAAGUUCAAAUUUUGUGGCAUUGUCCCCGUGUUUGAGGAGAAGCUGAACCGUAUGAUUGAGGGUGUUGUUACAACAGGCAAAUAUGCAUGCUCUCCAAGUGAGACAAGGUUUUGUGGUACCCUUGAGAAUGUGGCCGUCAAUCUAGCAUGUGAUUGACACGAUCUCGACACCAUUUCCUGGGGUUACCAUUUUGAGCCAACAGGGACUAUUCCAGCCACUUUUACUGUCAGAUCUGCGGUGCUCAGGGAAGCAAUUGAUGAUCUGGAAUGGCCUGGUUCCAGCGUCCAGAUGCGCAUAAGACCUGAUCCUCCCUCGGCAACUUUCAAAGCUUAGGGCCAUGGCUUUAAACCCAAGUCCACACCACUUGGGUUUAAAGCCUGUUGCUUGUGAAUUUUUCAACAAAAUAUUUUA